UACGGGGGGGAGCAAGCGUUGUUCGGAUUUACUGGGCGUAAAGGGCGCGUAGGCGGUCAGCACAAGUCAGUUGCGAAAUCUCCGGGCUUAACUCGGAAAGGUCAACUGAUACUGUGCGACUAGAGUGCGGAAGGGGCAACUGGAAUUCUCGGUGUAGCGGUGAAAUGCGUAGAUAUCGAGAGGAACACCUGCGGCGAAGGCGGGUUGCUGGGCCGACACUGACGCUGAUGCGCGAAAGCCAGGGGAGCGAACGGG
This 255-nucleotide ribosomal RNA is filed under the name uncultured bacterium. RNAcentral's name for it is "partial 16S ribosomal RNA". It matches the Rfam family "Bacterial small subunit ribosomal RNA", at positions 524 to 776 of the family's 1533-position model. The record is from RNAcentral.